RNAcentral lists this small RNA (56 nucleotides) under Symbiodinium sp. Mp. Its description in RNAcentral is "partial Betaproteobacteria transfer-messenger RNA". The record is from RNAcentral. Lineage: Eukaryota; Dinophyceae; Suessiales; Symbiodiniaceae.
AUCAUGGUCGUGGGGCUUCUGGACAGGGUACGAUUCCGGACGGCCCCACAAAACGC